AGGGUUUGAUUCUGGCUCAGAUUGAACGCUGGCGGCAGGCCUAACACAUGCAAGUCGAGCGGAUGACAGGAGCUUGCUCCUGAAUUCAGCGGCGGACGGGUGAGUAAUGCCUAGGAAUCUGCCUGGUAGUGGGGGACAACGUUUCGAAAGGAACGCUAAUACCGCAUACGUCCUACGGGAGAAAGCAGGGGACCUUCGGGCCUUGCGCUAUCAGAUGAGCCUAGGUCGGAUUAGCUAGUUGGUGAGGUAAUGGCUCACCAAGGCGACGAUCCGUAACUGGUCUGAGAGGAUGAUCAGUCACACUGGAACUGAGACACGGUCCAGACUCCUACGGGAGGCAGCAGUGGGGAAUAUUGGACAAUGGGCGAAAGCCUGAUCCAGCCAUGCCGCGUGUGUGAAGAAGGUCUUCGGAUUGUAAAGCACUUUAAGUUGGGAGGAAGGGCAUUAACCUAAUACGUUAGUGUUUUGACGUUACCGACAGAAUAAGCACCGGCUAACUCUGUGCCAGCAGCCGCGGUAAUACAGAGGGUGCAAGCGUUAAUCGGAAUUACUGGGCGUAAAGCGCGCGUAGGUGGUUUGUUAAGUUGGAUGUGAAAGCCCCGGGCUCAACCUGGGAACUGCAUUCAAAACUGACAAGCUAGAGUAUGGUAGAGGGUGGUGGAAUUUCCUGUGUAGCGGUGAAAUGCGUAGAUAUAGGAAGGAACACCAGUGGCGAAGGCGACCACCUGGACUGAUACUGACACUGAGGUGCGAAAGCGUGGGGAGCAAACAGGAUUAGAUACCCUGGUAGUCCACGCCGUAAACGAUGUCAACUAGCCGUUGGGAGCCUUGAGCUCUUAGUGGCGCAGCUAACGCAUUAAGUUGACCGCCUGGGGAGUACGGCCGCAAGGCUAAAACUCAAAUGAAUUGACGGGGGCCCGCACAAGCGGUGGAGCAUGUGGUUUAAUUCG
This 950-nucleotide ribosomal RNA is filed under the name uncultured Pseudomonas sp. Its description in RNAcentral is "bacterial SSU rRNA". It matches the Rfam family "Bacterial small subunit ribosomal RNA", at positions 8 to 953 of the family's 1533-position model. Lineage: Bacteria; Pseudomonadati; Pseudomonadota; Gammaproteobacteria; Pseudomonadales; Pseudomonadaceae. The record is from RNAcentral.